AGAUGGACUGCUUGCCAUCUAUCCUAGCUCAGCAUGCCCAUGCCAGGUGCUGUCGCUGCCCUAGGCAUGCCGGGGAAGAGAGGAGGGCAGGUAUCUUCCGGGCGGCCUCUGGAGUCAAAUCAAGACUUGAGGUACCCUGGGGAGGCUUGUAGCCACAGCUUGGAAGCGGCAGCACCGAAGCACACACAUCGAGAACAUCUCAACGUCCAUGUC
This is a long non-coding RNA of Melospiza georgiana, 213 nucleotides long. RefSeq lists it as uncharacterized. The record is from RefSeq and is a predicted model, not a curated record. The transcript has 4 exons. Lineage: Eukaryota; Metazoa; Chordata; Aves; Passeriformes; Passerellidae.